Molecule: ribosomal RNA, 434 nt
Filed under: uncultured Blautia sp.
Lineage: Bacteria; Bacillati; Bacillota; Clostridia; Lachnospirales; Lachnospiraceae
Description: bacterial SSU rRNA
Rfam family: Bacterial small subunit ribosomal RNA
Source: RNAcentral
ACGGGAGGCAGCAGUGGGGGAUAUUGCACAAUGGGGGAAACCCUGAUGCAGCGACGCCGCGUGAGUGAUGAAGUAUUUCGGUAUGUAAAGCUCUAUCAGCAGGGAAGAAAAUGACGGUACCUGACUAAGAAGCCCCGGCUAACUACGUGCCAGCAGCCGCGGUAAUACGUAGGGGGCAAGCGUUAUCCGGAUUUACUGGGUGUAAAGGGAGCGUAGACGGCGCUGCAAGUCAGAUGUGAAAGGCUGGGGCUUAACCCCGGGACUGCAUUUGAAACCGCAGUGCUCGAGUGCCGGAGAGGUAAGCGGAAUUCCUAGUGUAGCGGUGAAAUGCGUAGAUAUUAGGAGGAACACCAGUGGCGAAGGCGGCUUACUGGACGGUAACUGACGUUGAGGCUCGAAAGCGUGGGGAGCAAACAGGAUUAGAUACCCUGGUA